Long non-coding RNA from Felis catus (domestic cat), 1298 nucleotides. RefSeq lists it as uncharacterized. The record is from RefSeq and is a predicted model, not a curated record. The transcript is spliced from 2 exons. NCBI's taxonomy places the organism in Eukaryota, Metazoa, Chordata, Mammalia, Carnivora, Felidae.
GCCCAUCUGUGCGUAGUGGGGAAGCCAUCAGUCAGGAAACCUGUGAGACCAGAUGCUACGCCCUUCACCUGGUGGAAAGUCUCCCCCAGGAAGUCACUUAGGACCGCGAGGAGAGUCACGCUGCCAGAGGAGAAAGAGCAAAUAGUCAAGGAAUGUAGGCUCGGGUUCUAGUAUAGGCUUUGUCCUGUGUUCCCCCAGGAAAUAUGCCUCCCUUCACCGGGCCUUUGUCACCUUCUCUCUGAAGGGAUGGGGCUAGACCAGAUGAAAUUCAACAGUGUCUGAGCUGCAUAUGUGCUGUACAAAUGAAAAAUAUUUUUUAAAGCCCAGAUUCAGCUCCGUUCCUCAAAGAGCAUGCAGUCUUGCGCAUGGAUAACUAUGGCACUUCAUAGUUAGGGCCUGGGGCCCCCACGAAGGCUGAGAGCCACCCUUUCACAUUUAAGAGGCUGAGAUGCUGUGUCUCCCUGACUAGAGCAGCCUCAGGUUGGGGUGAGUGGAAGUCAUAACGCCACAGAAAUGUCACAGCCAAGGGAGGGACCUGUGGGCUCUUCUCCUUUCACUAUUGGCCAUGGCUAAACUGUGGAGCUUCUAAAUUCACACACGCCACCAGACACUGGGAACGUCCUGACGGGCAUAGAAGAGGAGUACAACAACACUCAGAUGUGGCCCUGGCCUGAGCUGUCCCCCGCUGCUCUUCUGUGUCUCAGUCAAGCCGAGCAGACCUCAGCAGGGGAGCGAGAAGCUGAGAGAAAUCUCCUUAAUGAGUUGAUCACAAGAAUGGAUGCUUUGGUGUCAAUAUUAUGCCCACUAGAAGCUCUAGAGGAACUCAAGAGAAGCUAAAUUCCUUGAUAAAGCUGGGCAUCAUGGGAAGAAAAGACACUCUCUGAGAGACAAGAUGAGAAGGUCUGCCAAGAAGUUUCUCCCAUGAUUGGCGGGAGACCCUGACUCCCUGAUGAAAAGAAGUGAGGGAGAGCCCAGCCUUGGAAGAAGAGAGUGAGGCACCGUGAUCCCAGAUCUGUUUAUUUUUAAGGAAACAAGACAAAAUAAAACAAAACCCCUGAAAGAAUCUAUGUGCCUGCCACCCAAAAUGAACAAAUGCUUACAUUUUUAAAUUUAAUUCAGAUCUUUUAAAAAAAAAAAAACAAAACAUUACAGAUUUAAAAUACCCUAUGUGCUCACACCAGAGACCUGCUCCCUUUCCUUCCUUCCCAAAGUCACCACUGUGAUGAAUUCUACGUGUUCCCAGUCCUGUUUACAACUUCACUGUACAUCCAUGUAUUGAUAAACAGUAUAUAACAAUG